Molecule: ribosomal RNA, 436 nt
Filed under: uncultured bacterium
Lineage: Bacteria
Description: bacterial SSU rRNA
Rfam family: Bacterial small subunit ribosomal RNA
Source: RNAcentral
AACGAACGCUGGCGGCAUGCCUAACACAUGCAAGUCGAACGAAGCCUUCGGGCUUAGUGGCGCACGGGUGCGUAACACGUGGGAAUCUGCCCUUCGGUUCGGAAUAACAGUUAGAAAUGACUGCUAAUACCGGAUGAUGACGUAAGUCCAAAGAUUUAUCGCCGAAGGAUGAGCCCGCGUAGGAUUAGGUAGUUGGUAGGGUAAUGGCCUACCAAGCCGACGAUCCUUAGCUGGUCUGAGAGGAUGAUCAGCCACACUGGGACUGAGACACGGCCCAGACUCCUACGGGAGGCAGCAGUGGGGAAUCUUGGGCAAUGGGCGAAAGCCUGACCCAGCGACGCCGCGUUGGGGAUGAAGCCCUUCGGGGCGUAAACCCAUGUUGUAGGGGACGAAGAAAGUGACGGUACCCUACGAGAAAGCCCCGGCCAACUACGUG